This 127-nucleotide ribosomal RNA is filed under the name uncultured bacterium. RNAcentral describes it as "partial 16S ribosomal RNA". It matches the Rfam family "Bacterial small subunit ribosomal RNA", at positions 380 to 525 of the family's 1533-position model. The record is from RNAcentral.
ACUCUGAUGCAGCACGCCGCGUGAGGGAAGACGGUUUUCGGAUUGUAAACCUUUGUCCUUGGUGACGAUAAUGACGGUAGCCGAGGAGGAAGCUCCGGCUAACUACGUGCCAGCAGCCGCGGUAAUA